AACGCACCUUGCGCUCCUUGGUAUUCCGAGGAGCAUGCCUGUUUGAGUGUCGCCAAAUUAUCAACUCCUUUUCAUUUUGUUGAGAUGUGAGCUUGAAGUUGGGGACUGUCGGUUUUAAAAUCGACUUCCCUUGAAUGCAUUAGCUGGAAGUAAAUUUGCAGCAUAUAUGCGGUGUGAUAAUGUCGUCACUGUAUAGCUACAGAUUGUUCAGGCUUCUAACCGUCUUUCAUUAGACAAUUUGAUCAUUCUGGCCUCAAAUCAGGUAGGACUACCCGCUGAACUUAA
This 285-nucleotide unclassified non-coding RNA is filed under the name uncultured fungus. RNAcentral describes it as "sequence contains ITS2". The stretch from base 1 to 52 matches the Rfam family "5.8S ribosomal RNA", at positions 103 to 154 of the family's 154-position model. The record is from RNAcentral. Lineage: Eukaryota; Fungi.